Long non-coding RNA from Mustela erminea (ermine), 75 nucleotides. RefSeq lists it as uncharacterized. The record is from RefSeq and is a predicted model, not a curated record. The transcript has 3 exons. NCBI's taxonomy places the organism in Eukaryota, Metazoa, Chordata, Mammalia, Carnivora, Mustelidae.
UCAUACCCCAGAAUAGGUUUUGGUUCAUCCCGCAGCGCCAGUUCUGCUUACCAAAAGUGGCCCACUAGGCACUCA